Long non-coding RNA from Hirundo rustica (Barn swallow), 378 nucleotides. RefSeq lists it as uncharacterized. Lineage: Eukaryota; Metazoa; Chordata; Aves; Passeriformes; Hirundinidae. The record is from RefSeq and is a predicted model, not a curated record. The transcript has 3 exons.
CAAAAAUAAGUUUGUGAGACAUCCGCACUGAAGGAGACAAUCUUUAGCCACAUCAUUAGACCUGGAGUUUGAUUGCGUUCCAGUGUUUCCAGCUGACCUCAGAGGUCUAGAUCCUAGGAUCACAGACCUAUCCCUAAAUACCAGUUGCAAGAGAAUCAUCCUGCAUAUGUAACAGCACAGAGGAAGCUGUUCAGUGCCAGUUCAUGGGAGAGGAACAUCUGGAAUUCUUGAAAAUACUUGGCUAUAACGAGUUUGUACACCAGAAUUGAUGCAGGACUAUGAAUCCAGAAGAUCUAUCACAGUGAUAUUAUUUUGGAGGCAUCUUGCACCAAAUUAUUUUCUAUACAUUUUCAGAGGACCAGAAACCUAAUAUUCUCU